Molecule: ribosomal RNA, 468 nt
Filed under: uncultured bacterium
Lineage: Bacteria
Description: partial 16S ribosomal RNA
Rfam family: Bacterial small subunit ribosomal RNA
Source: RNAcentral
GACGAACGCUGGCGGCGUGCUUAACACAUGCGAGUCGAACGGAAAGGCCCUGCUUUUGUGGGGUGCUCGAGUGGCGAACGGGUGAGUAACACGUGAGUAACCUGCCCUUGACUUUGGGAUAACUUCAGGAAACUGGGGCUAAUACCGCAUAGGAGCUUCUGCUGCAUGGUGGGGGAUGGAAAGUUUCGGCGGUUGGGGCUGGACUCGCGGCUUAUCCGCUUGUUGGUGGGGUAGUGGCUUACCAAGCUUUUGACGGGUAGGCGGCCUUGGAGGGGGACCAGCCACAUGGGGACUGAGGGACGGCGCAGACGCCUACGGGAGGCAGCAGGGGAGAAUAUUGCAGAAUGGGCGGAAGCCUGAUGCAGCAACGCCGCGUGCGGGAUGACGGCCUUCGGGUUGUAAACCGCUUUCGCCUGUGACGAAGCGUGAGUGACGGUAAUGGGUAAAGAAGCACCGGCUAACUACGUG